RNAcentral lists this unclassified non-coding RNA (300 nucleotides) under uncultured Pleosporales. RNAcentral's name for it is "sequence contains ITS1". The stretch from base 1 to 105 matches the Rfam family "5.8S ribosomal RNA", at positions 50 to 154 of the family's 154-position model. The record is from RNAcentral. Lineage: Eukaryota; Fungi; Ascomycota; Dothideomycetes; Pleosporales.
GAAAUGCGAUAAGUAGUGUGAAUUGCAGAAUUCAGUGAAUCAUCGAAUCUUUGAACGCACAUUGCGCCCCUUGGUAUUCCAUGGGGCAUGCCUGUUCGAGCGUCAUUUGUACCCUCAAGCUUUGCUUGGUGUUGGGCGUCUUGUCUCCCUCUCGGGAGACUCGCCUCAAAACAAUUGGCAGCCGGCAUAUUGGUAUCGGAGCGCAGCACAAGUCGCGCUUCUUUCCAUGAAUGUCAGCAUCCAUCAAGACCAUUUUUCACUCUUGACCUCGGAUCAGGUAGGGAUACCCGCUGAACUUAA